UGGAGGUGCAGCACGCUUAUAUGGAC
RNAcentral lists this non-coding RNA (26 nucleotides) under Homo sapiens (human). Lineage: Eukaryota; Metazoa; Chordata; Mammalia; Primates; Hominidae. The record is from RNAcentral.